GCCGAAGUGGCGGAAUUGGUAGACGCACACGUUUUAGGAGCGUGUUCCUUCGGGAGUGCAGGUUCAAGUCCUGUCUUCGGCAC
This 83-nucleotide transfer RNA is filed under the name bioreactor metagenome. RNAcentral describes it as "tRNA-Leu". It matches the Rfam family "tRNA". Rfam says of the family: Transfer RNA (tRNA) molecules are approximately 80 nucleotides in length. Their secondary structure includes four short double-helical elements and three loops (D, anti-codon, and T loops). Further hydrogen bonds mediate the characteristic L-shaped molecular structure. tRNAs have two regions of fundamental functional importance: the anti-codon, which is responsible for specific mRNA codon recognition, and the 3' end, to which the tRNAs corresponding amino acid is attached (by aminoacyl-tRNA synthetases). tRNAs cope with the degeneracy of the genetic code in two manners: having more than one tRNA (with a specific anti-codon) for a particular amino acid; and 'wobble' base-pairing, i.e. permitting non-standard base-pairing at the 3rd anti-codon position. The record is from RNAcentral.